This is a long non-coding RNA of Carassius gibelio (silver crucian carp), 1313 nucleotides long. RefSeq lists it as uncharacterized. The record is from RefSeq and is a predicted model, not a curated record. Lineage: Eukaryota; Metazoa; Chordata; Actinopteri; Cypriniformes; Cyprinidae. The transcript is spliced from 3 exons.
CAAACAACACAAGCAGUCAAUCAAAGACAGAGACAAAACCUCACACUUUCAGUUUCAGCAUGUUUAGCUGUUCUUUAGAACUGAAGUCUUUUCUGUUCGCUGAUUAUGAGUAAGAACAUCAUCAGAGUCUUGCUCUUCUCAUCUGAAGGUCUUUCCUAUCAUAAUGUGUUUCUUCUGAUGAGGUGAUGAACUCUUUCUGAAGCUCAGACAACACAACAUCAGCAGACAUCUCGGAGUUGUGAUGGAUGGGUCAUCUCUCUUCAGCUCGACACAAGAUAUAGAGAGACUGUAGAAAUGAAAUAGCACAGAGAAAACUGCUAAAAUCAACAGGACCCAGAGAAAAAUGGAGACCAGAAAUGAAGCACAAAGCAGUGAAUCACAAAAGAAAAGCAGAAAGAGACACACAAGAUGGAACAGCAUGUGGAAUAUAAAGCCAAAUUUCUCACAUGAUCCAGAUGGACUUAAAAAAGUUUUAUUCAGAUGUUUUCAAGAACACAUAACGUCAGCGAUGUCAGGAUACCAUCGACUGAAGACUAACAUCUGAAGACUAACAGACUGUUCAGCUCCUGGACUCUUCCAGAGGAACCUUUUAUGUACCUUGUUUUUUAAUGGUUCUUCAAAAAAGUUAGCGGAAUUGAUUAAAAUAUCUGAAUUAAGUUGUCUGUGAUUUUUCUGUGUUGUCAUGUUCAUUAAAGGGCAGAUAUAUCAAUACUAAAAAACAUGAUCAGCAAUGCAGUGAUAUGGUGGUGUAAAGUCAGUAACAUGACAUCAUAUAAAUAAGAAGGAAACAGUCUAGUGAGUGAAAUGAUGAAAGUUCUAAUAUAAAAGUCUCUUUAAGGCAAGUCUCGGCGGCCAUCUUUGAAACACCUCUCAGCUAUGUGAGUGCAGCUCCUAUCUCUUUUAAUGGGGAAAAAAUCACAUUCUUCAAAAUAUAUUUGAAAUCACCAAUGAAAUCUGACAACAUCGGUCUCAUUAAUGUUUCUUUAACAGUGUUAAAGAAAAUCCCAUCCUGAUCUAGAAGUGCUUUUCGUUAACUGCAAGCCGUUCUAUUCGCCGCGGGAGUUUCACUCGUUUAUUCUGGUCUGUGUUUACAUUCCUCCGCAAGCGCAUGUGAGCUCAGCUUUACAGAAACUCUCUGAUCAGAUCACAGAGACAGAACAACAACACCCGGACUCUGCUUUAAUCAUUCCUAGGGUCUUUAAUUAAGCCAAUCUCUCCCAUUACCUGCCAAAAUACAGACAGCACAUCACAUGUCCCACCAGAGACAGUAAUAUAUUGGAUCACUGUUACACCACAAUAAAGGAUGAUAUCAC